ACUAAAUCAUCUCUAACCAGACAAUCCAAUCCCCCUUCUCCUUCAACCAAACGACCCUCUCUCUCCCUUCCCCUUCAACCAGCGCGAACCCCGACGCCGCCAUCCCACCCUGUCACGUCACUUCCAUCACGUCGUCACCACCACCACGACCAUCAGACUGCCAAAACCACCUUCCCUCUCUCUUGAAUCGAAAAAGGGUAGCGAAAUCUGUGGGUUUAGAACGUUCCAUCGCCUCUACUGCUCCACAUCUUUUUGACUGGCGCGGUGGCAGAAGGAACCAGUAAGGGGUCGUAUCAACCUCUGUGGGGGAGAGGUGUAGUGAACCGUCGGUUCCAACUAAUGGCUCGCCGACUGUUAAGACGCGCGAAUCCACCAAAUUCAGAGUCCCAAGGAACCUCUGGAUUUGAAAACCCAUCUGAAAAGUUCUCGGCUGAAACAACAAGCUUUCGAGUGGAUUCGGAGACUCGACGACGACAAUAGCCUCAGUUCGCUGUCACGGAGAAGGUAAUCACAUUCGUCCUAUCUUCGUCUUUAAUUUUAUUAAAGUAGAAAUGUAGUCGUCAAGUGUUUUUCUCGUCGUUUGUUUGGUUUGGUUGGCUGGAAUAUGUGUCCUGCUCGUUUGUGGUAAAUUAGUGUGAGUCGACUAAUUUCGUUGCUCGACCAAAAGAUAAUUUUCUUCCUCGACUUAGCAUUGUUCUUCAAUUAUGUAUAUUUCCAGUUUGAGGUAGAUUAGAUUAGCUUCAGUCCUGUUUAAUUAAGAUGUUUAGUUUCCUCUUAAAAUAUUUCUUAUUUUUUUGCGAUUCUGUCUAGCGUCAUGUAAUUCAGUUGAGUUUCAAUCUCGUUAAGUUAGAUAACUAAGCUUUCUUUCCCUAAACUCUCCGGAGGGUGCAAAGCACGAAUUCAUACUCCUUUGGUUAAAAUCAUGAUUUUCCCUUAGAUAAUAUGAUCUGUAGACUUGUAGCCAUGUGUCUUCAAUAUUAAUAAAUGCAUUGUUAAUUUUGGGGAUUCAUGAGAAUUAAGUUACUUUCAACUUUGUUUGAUUUAGGUUCCACAAAUUUGUUUAUGCUUCGUGUAGAUGGGUUUGGUUUUCAAUUCUAGUUGAACUAAAAUGCUAGCCUUUCUUUUCAAGCUCUUUGUGUAUUCCAAACGUCGACUAGUUGUUUGAUUCUGUGUUGGCUCCGUAUGGAUCGAGUGGGAGCCUUCUUCUUCUUAAAUGGUUAUCCUCAAGCUAGAUAAGCUAACCUGUUCUUCUUGGUGGCUUCAAAUGAUAGAGCAUGACAUUGGUAGCGACUUAGAGAUCAUAUCUAUAGGUCUAAAUAGCCUAUGUUCAAUCUGAAACAGGACUCUUUUUGUUCACAUUUGUACAAGUCAAUAACUAGGAUCAUUUUUUUAGUUGGUUCAGAUGUUUUAUGCUGAUGUCACGAAGUUAUGAAGUUUGUUAAUGCUCAUGUGCAGUGGGUAUUUUCAAAUCUCCCAGGAUAUUUAUUAUAAAGAGAAAUGUUUGAAGAAGUGUCCUUCCUUUACAUCUUAGAAAAAUAAAAGCACUUCCUUGUGAGAGUAUUUUCUUUACUUCUAACUAGUACUUUCCUUCCUGUCAUAAUUUUUUUUAAAAAAAACUCUAUUUCUUACUAUAACCGGAUACUAUAUGAAACGAACAUGUUAGCUUAGUUUGAUCCUAUACAUAGAUUCUGUCUACAUGAUAUUUGUGGAGAUUUAUUAAAGUAUAUAGUUAUAUAGAUUUUUCUAGCUUAUUAAUUUUAGUUUGAAUGUCGCUUUGGAAGUACAGAUUCGACUAAAUCCAUAACUGGCUGCAAAAAGAAAAAAAAUAUAUUUCUAUACCAAGAAUAUAACCCACAAAUACUACGUUCUCUCUUUGUGCCUAAUUCGAAUGUCAUUAUUUUGGUGCAUAACUUCGCUGCAUAAGCUCAUUGCAUUCUAUGACAUACGCAGCGGCAUUUUUUGUCUAACAUGGGGAGAUAGUUUUUGGGACUGAUUUUGAUUAAGUUAAAGAUGAAGUGCUUAAACAAUGUGACUCGACAAGUUCUCUUCAAGCAAGAAAUAAACUCCCAGAUUUCAAAUUUAAAGAGUUCAUCUUCAUCUUCCUUGGUUUAUGGUUUUUGGGAUCUAGUCAUAUUAGGGACUGUUCUGAAACUUGGCUUUCUAGUCAUUUUAGACUGUUUGUAAAACUUAAACCAAAGUAUGAUAUUUUAAGGCAAUCAUGAGCAGAUUUGAGCCAUUUUACUGCUGCGUUUUAGGCCAUUUCACAGCCACGUUUUUGGCAAUUCGCUGCUGAAUUUUGGGCCUAAACAUCGCUGCUCUUGCUGCCAUUUUAUUGCUGCAUUUUCUGCCAUUUUUACUGCUGCGUUUAGGCCAUUUUAUAGCUGCGUUUUUGGCAAUUCGCUGCUGAUAUUUCGGGCCUAAACAUUGUGGCAUUUUCUACUAUUCUGCUGCUGUGUUUUGAGCCAUAAACGGCUGCAUUUUUGGGUCACGCACAGUUGUGUUUAUAUGGCCGAAUCGCUGCCAUCUUCAAAUCUCUAGGCCUGCUGUUAUAUGGCCGCGGCUUGGUUGCCAUUUGAGCUUGUGAAUUGAUACACUUUGAAAGAGUUGGCUACUGCUGAUUGCUACUUGUUGCUGUGGCAUUUCUUUAGAUUGCUGCACUUCAAAGGCUCUCAAAGUGCUACUUUUUUUUUAAAAAAAAUUUAUCUGCUGACUUACUGUCUAAAAUUGGCUGCUGUCCGACGUUUGUUAUAUCUUAUGGCUGCUGCUUUCUUGCCAUUCACCGCUGUCCCUCAAGGGCAGAUUGUUGGUCUGAAUGUUGAAUACUUUGAAGUUGGGCUAUGCCACUAAGGAAAUCUCUUUUCUCUUUCAAACAAACUGCAAUUUAUUACUGUCAUGUAAAUGUUAAGUGUUUCUUUUCCUUUCUUUGACAAACUAGUUGGUAAAUUCAUUUGUGGCGCUUUAUUUGAAAUGAUGGUUUCUCCUGAGCUUGCUUAUGUACCAAAUCAGUCUUUAACUGGUUCAUUUCUCACGUGAACAAAUGAUUGCUAGUUAUGCCUUCCCCCCCCUCUUUUUUUGAGACUGCCUUUCCCCUUUCUCUUCACUGUAUUACUCUUCUUUCAAACUAAAUGUGAGAUUGAUGUCCAGCCUCUUCUAUGUUUCAUUAGUCUGUUUGUUAAAACCUGAGUUAGAAUUAUUUGGUUUUAGUUUUUUUUUUUUGAGAAAGGGAGGAUUCGAAAUUGGAUCAUUGGAAAUUGUAUAUCUAGACCAUCUUGUUAUUGUGACAGCCUUUGUGGUAUUUUAGUUAUGCUUUCGUGUUUAACCCACCUAGUUAUUUUUUUAUUUGUCGCGAUCUUCUUUAUUUUAAAAUAUUUACUUAAGUCAGGUUGGCCUCUUUCCAAAGCUAAGCAGAAUAUUUGGGUAAACUAUUUAUUCUUGAUGGCAUGUUUCAUUCAUUCGAUUUUGGCGUUAUUAAGAUCAAUUAAGGGUAUCACUAAUUCUUAUCUUUUUUUUUUAUGAGGAACCUCGGGAGCAUUUGGAGUUAUGGCAACUCUGGAUUCUGCCCAGAUCAGAGAAAAACCAGCAGUUGCAUUUGCGUGCCUGUGUCUCACAGCCUUCGUUCGUGUCAAGCGUCCCCGUCCUUCCUCCUCUUCUUCAAAUUUCGUAUCUUUACGUUAACAAACAUAUAUAUAUACAUGUUUAUAUUAUUGACUAACAUUUUUGGAUGAUAUUUGUAGCAUAUUUAUUUCUUAUU
This is a long non-coding RNA of Lycium barbarum (goji berry), 3751 nucleotides long. RefSeq lists it as uncharacterized. Lineage: Eukaryota; Viridiplantae; Streptophyta; Magnoliopsida; Solanales; Solanaceae. The record is from RefSeq and is a predicted model, not a curated record. The transcript has 2 exons.